This 74-nucleotide transfer RNA is filed under the name Acholeplasma sp. RNAcentral describes it as "tRNA-Gly". It matches the Rfam family "tRNA". From Rfam's summary of the family: Transfer RNA (tRNA) molecules are approximately 80 nucleotides in length. The record is from RNAcentral. Lineage: Bacteria; Bacillati; Mycoplasmatota; Mollicutes; Acholeplasmatales; Acholeplasmataceae. RNAcentral also lists the same sequence under 2 other names.
GCGGAUGUAGUUUAAUGGUAGAACAACAGCCUUCCAAGCUGUUGGCGGGGGUUCGAAUCCCCUCGUCCGCUCCA